CAGACAUGCUCCGUGCGUUCAGCCGAAAGGUGUACUCGUACGGUUGCAGGCCAGCAUCGGUUUGGUUCGGGGUAAAAGGGUGCGGGGAACGUGGCAACCUCGGUUGUGUUAUAGACCCGCACUGGAUGCCCCGUCGCAGACCGAGGAACGCAGGGCGCCGCAAGGUAGUGCCUCCGGGUACCGAGCCCUUAGGAUGCUGGUAGAAUAGCCUUAACCGACCCCGUCUUGAAACACGGACCAAGGAGUCUAACAUAUAUGCGAGUGUU
RNAcentral lists this ribosomal RNA (266 nucleotides) under Glomus sp. (unid). Lineage: Eukaryota; Fungi; Glomeromycota; Glomeromycetes; Glomerales; Glomeraceae. The record is from RNAcentral.